GGUGGCUCCGUGGUAGAGUGCUUGCUUUGUAUGCAUGAGGACCUGGGUUCAAUUCCUCAGCACCA
Molecule: transfer RNA, 65 nt
Filed under: Dipodomys ordii (Ord's kangaroo rat)
Lineage: Eukaryota; Metazoa; Chordata; Mammalia; Rodentia; Heteromyidae
Rfam family: tRNA
About the family: Transfer RNA (tRNA) molecules are approximately 80 nucleotides in length. Their secondary structure includes four short double-helical elements and three loops (D, anti-codon, and T loops).
Source: Rfam by way of RNAcentral